GUGCUGUGCUCUGGUUGGGGCAGGGGGCCAGGUGAGCACUCUCGCAGGCCUGGAUGGAGGAGCUCCACUCCCCUUUUGGCUGAGCAGCCUUUGCACGUUCCUGGCCUCCCUGUGUCCGAUUGCAUAGAGGGUGGGAGGGGACAGAGAUGCCCACAGCCCCGCGAGCCUAGGAUUCUGGGGCUUCCUUCACUGUCUUCACAGAAGCCGAAAGACAAUCUAUUCCUGACUCCAACUCCCAGCUGCACAGAAAGGAAAAGAAAACACCUGACUGCAGCUGAGAACGGGUCUCUCCAGGUCUUAACAACCCAUCUCGCUGUUUAGCGAAGUUCCACGCUGGAGGGAGUAGCGGGUGGGCAUGCCCCGCCCCCCUGGGGUGCUGGAGACCCGGGACUUUGCAGAAACAGCCCCCGAGGGGCAAGGGCGCCUGGUCGGCGGAUCUGUUCACUGUCGUCUCAGUGCCAGCUCGGCUCUGCGUCUUGGGACCCAGAGUGAAGACACCGUGGUUCCCGCCCUCUUACAGUCCGAGCGUCAUUUUCUGGGCGGGGUCACCCAGGCCCCACGAGGGGAAGGGGCUGGCCCCAGCUCCGUCAGUGAUCCGGAGGCAGCCAGGGCUAGUGGGAGGAGAGCUAUACGGCCUUGACUUCUCGGGCCCGCGGUUCAGGACCCUGACGAUGGCUGUAGCAGGCAUGCUAGGUACUCCUCACCCUCGGAGCUCCAUCCAAGUUCCUCCUAUGUGUUGGUCUGCUUCAUCCCCACCACACCCACAUGAGGGGAAGAGGACCUCCGUCGCUCUCUUUGUCCCAGAAUCCCACAUGGUCAGCCUUGCAUCUUUCCCAACCACUCAUCCACUGUGCGGAUGGGAACGUGAGCUCAGAGGCAGCAAGUGACUGGCCCAAGGUCCCACAGCCAGAGCAUGGAGUCCCCGGCUGGCGGGACACCGGGCACUCGAUAGUCUAGGGGCUUGGGAGUGUCCUCAGGCCCCCACCCCGGCCCCAGGAGAUGUCCACAGGGCAGGCAACCCUCCAGGGGGCACAGCAGCAGCAGAGAAGAGCUCUUCUCACUCAGCCCAGUCUCAGACGCCUGUGUCCCACAUGGAUGCCCCUCCAGUGCUGGUCCUGGGCUUCCUGCACCAAUGGGGCCAUGCUUGUGAGGGACAGAAACCAGCUGUCCCAUAAAGAGACUCUGCAGUAUUGACAUCACCACGUUAGGGGUGCAGCAGGGGUGUGUGUGGCAGAAGAUGCCGGGGCUGGGCGGCUCUGCCUCUAGGCACCUGCUGCCCCAAGGGAGUCUCUCUUCUCUGAGCACCUUCUUUUCAUUUGCACAAAG
Long non-coding RNA from Bos taurus (domestic cattle), 1326 nucleotides. The record is from Ensembl. NCBI's taxonomy places the organism in Eukaryota, Metazoa, Chordata, Mammalia, Artiodactyla, Bovidae.